RNAcentral lists this ribosomal RNA (45 nucleotides) under Trichoderma estonicum. Its description in RNAcentral is "partial 28S ribosomal RNA". Lineage: Eukaryota; Fungi; Ascomycota; Sordariomycetes; Hypocreales; Hypocreaceae. The record is from RNAcentral. RNAcentral also lists the same sequence under 2 other names.
UUGACCUCGGAUCAGGUAGGAAUACCCGCUGAACUUAAGCAUAUA